GAGACACGGUCCAAACUCCUACGGGAGGCAGCAGUGAGGAAUAUUGGUCAAUGGGCGAGAGCCUGAACCAGCCGAGUAGCGUGCAGGAUGACGGCCCUAUGGGUUGUAAACUGCUUUUAUAAGGGAAUAAAGUGAGCCUCGUGAGGCUUUUUGCAUGUACCUUAUGAAUAAGGACCGGCUAAUUCCGUGCCAGCAGCCGCGGUAAUACGGAAGGUCCGGGCGUUAUCCGGAUUUAUUGGGUUUAAAGGGAGCGUAGGCCGGAGAUUAAGCGUGUUGUGAAAUGUAGACGCUCAACGUCUGCACUGCAGCGCGAACUGGUUUCCUUGAGUACGCACAAAGUGGGCGGAAUUCGUGGUGUAGCGGUGAAAUGCUUAGAUAUCACGAAGAACUCCGAUUGCGAAGGCAGCUCACUGGAGCGCAACUGACGCUGAAGCUCGAAAGUGCGGGUAUCGAACAGGAUUAGAUACCCUGGUAGUCCGCACGGUAAACGAUGGAUGCCCGCUGUUGGUCUGAAUAGGUCAGCGGCCAAGCGAAAGCAUUAAGCAUCCCACCUGGGGAGUACGCCGGCAACGGUGCAACUCAAAUGAAUUG
This 591-nucleotide ribosomal RNA is filed under the name uncultured organism. RNAcentral's name for it is "bacterial SSU rRNA". It matches the Rfam family "Bacterial small subunit ribosomal RNA", at positions 321 to 912 of the family's 1533-position model. The record is from RNAcentral.